AGGAGAGCUGCUUAUGGGGUUUGCUAGUUCCAUUCUUCCCCGUCAUGUGCUUUGAAAUGAGGUUGCUGUGCUUUGACAAGCCCUUGCUUGCUUUCCAUUCCUUCUUUCCCCUUCUUUCUACCUCUCCAUUCUAAUGGCAGAGAGUCCUCGACACACCGUCUCCUCCUUUGGACGGCAGAACUGAAUUUUAUUUGCUGAGAGCUUUGGGCCCACUCUGAGAGGAUAAAUCCGGAUUAGAUUUGCAGCUCUGGAUCUUUCCCUGGCUCUCCUGACCCCGUGACAUCUUCUGAAGCAAGAGGCCUGUUGGAGGAUGAAAUAGGAUCUGGAUAAAUGUCCUGGCUGCUGACAUCACUGAUGAAAUAAUAAUGCCCCUGCAGCCGCCCUUCUGUGGCACAACGACCCAAGCACCACCUAUGGCAAUCAAGUGACUGAGAGAAUUUCAGCUCCUCUUAGAAAACAUACAUAAACCCUGUAAAAUGGAAGAGGAACUCUGAAACAGAAUGUAAACAUUCAUGCCAGAAGGAAGAUCUAAGGCCUUCCCAUUUGUCAACAAUUUCAUUUUGUCGAUGGAGCAAAACGUUGAGUGGAGCAGCUUGAAAACUACCAUCCUGCAGCAGCUGAGCUACAAGGAGAGACCACUGUGCAGCAUGGGUGAUGUAGUCCAGCCACCAAACAAGGCCUAUGCAGGAGGGCAGGUAGGUGGGGCCUGAAACUCCAACUCUGAGGAGUUCAGUUGGAAGCUGAGAUGAAAACUGACUGCAAAUGGAAAAUUUUAUGUAGAUUUUACCCAGCAUAAAAUUCCACUGGUAUUAAUCUUUUAUUGAUCUGCUUGUGGUAGUGACUUCCUGGACAAUGUAGGGAUGAAUCUGCUCUUGGCUUUCUCUGUGUUGAGAUGAGGCCCAGUGAUGCAGCAUCAGAAGAAGCCUUCUCUGGUGCUGGACUGUGUAGUGAGUGGGGGUGCAAAGUUUCCAGUUUGCAUAUCUCUCAGGGUGCUUCCAUUUCACAACUUCUAAAAUACCCAUUGAACGUUAUUUUAAGUGUUCAAAUCAGCUUAACAAAGUUAAUCCAUUGUUUAAAAAUCAUUGAGAUUGUCAACCUGAUGCUCUGUGCAGUUAUUCACUUUUAAAGCCCUGAAAAAUAGGACUUAGAAUUGGCAGCUGACCCUUAACUUCAAGUGUUAUUGCUUUUACACUGUAAUAUGAAUUAUGUUCUGCCUUAUAAGCUUUUGCCAUUAACUAAAGACUCUACUGUGAACCAGAAUUUCUAGGUAUAUCAGCAAUGAAUUGUACUUGUUCUGCAAAAAUCCAAGGCUUGGUGACUGCUAGGUCUCAAGAGCUGCCUUCUUUUUGCCAAGAUUCAUUAGGAAAUAUUCUCUGGAGUUGCUUUGAAUCACAGAUUCUUAUUUUGAAGGAUAUGGUUGGUGGUCCGGUGCCAUAUGCAAGUGCACAUUGAUGAAAUUCUGCAUUGGAGUCAGUUUCAGUAAUGGUCAAUCUUUGAAGGAAGCAUUUUCCUUAGAGUUGCCCAACAGCAGAAAAAUGCCAGUUGAUUUUUGAAGCCUCAGUCCCUCCUGUAGAGAAAGGCAACAGGAGGCAGAAAAGGUUUUGUUGUCUUUCCUGGUAGUUCAUUUUGCAGUCUCCAAGAUGCAUCUGCU
Long non-coding RNA from Dromaius novaehollandiae (emu), 1651 nucleotides. RefSeq lists it as uncharacterized. The record is from RefSeq and is a predicted model, not a curated record. NCBI's taxonomy places the organism in Eukaryota, Metazoa, Chordata, Aves, Casuariiformes, Dromaiidae. The transcript has 4 exons.